GCCUGGGUGGCUCAGUCGGUUAAGCGGCUGACUUCAGCUCAGGUCAUGAUCUCUCCGUCCGUGGGUUCGAGCCCCACGUCAGGCU
This 85-nucleotide transfer RNA is filed under the name Felis catus (domestic cat). It matches the Rfam family "tRNA". Rfam says of the family: Transfer RNA (tRNA) molecules are approximately 80 nucleotides in length. Their secondary structure includes four short double-helical elements and three loops (D, anti-codon, and T loops). Lineage: Eukaryota; Metazoa; Chordata; Mammalia; Carnivora; Felidae. The record is from Rfam by way of RNAcentral.